This 25-nucleotide non-coding RNA is filed under the name Cricetulus griseus (Chinese hamster). The record is from RNAcentral. Lineage: Eukaryota; Metazoa; Chordata; Mammalia; Rodentia; Cricetidae.
AUUUGAGCUAAUCCCCCAGCUGGUG